AUUGAGCAUUGUAUUCAUACACAAUGCACGAACACCACAAAAAAGACAUAAUAUCGCAAAUUCGGUGCCUCGAUCUUCGUGAUUCCACAAAAUAAUUCCCUUUCUCCAGACAUCACUCCUCCAAGUUUCUUUGCUACUGUCCCACUUUACUCUGAAACUAUUUGAAAAAAAUACUCUAAUUUUACCAGCACUUUUAUUAUGCACUGCUUUUAGUAUGAUAACUUUGACUAUUUUUUAGUAAAGAGAAUCUCUAGGCUAAAAAAAAAAGUUUCUUCUUUUCUCACUAAAAUUUUCACCCCAAAUUUUCUCAAAUCAAAGAAAACAGAGGAAAUUAUGGGUUCAUCUGGCAAAAAUGAGCAUAGUUUUCUCUAUGUUGUAGCUAGCAACUUUGAUGUUCUUGCUGGGCCAUUAGUUGCUCUUGUUUAUCCUCUAUAUGCUUCAAUCAAAGCCAUAGAAAGUGGUUCAAGAUCAGAUGAUCAACAAUGGCUUACUUAUUGGGUAUUAUAUUCCUUAAUCACCAUCUUUGAACUCUCAUUUGCCAAAGUCCUUGAAUGGUUUCCGAUAUGGAGUUAUGCAAAGCUUUUCUUCACAUGCUGGUUGGUGCUGCCUCAAUUCAAUGGAGCAACUUAUGUUUAUAGACAUUUUAUUAGACCUUUCUAUAUGAACCCACAAAUGACCACUUCCACCAUGUGGUAUAUACCUAAGAAGAACUUAUUCAGCAAACAAGAUGAUAUUUUAUAUGCUGCAGAGAAGUACAUUGAACAAAAUGGAACUGAGGCAUUUGAGAGGAUCAUUAAGAAGGCUGAUAGAGAAGCAAAAGCAAGGAGGAAACACUACAUGAUUUUUGAAGAGGAUCACAAAAUUCAUAAUAAAUAUAAUGGAUAUUACUGAUCUCUUUAAUAUAGGCUAGCUCUCUCAUGAGUUAAUUCGACGGCCAGUUGAGCCAGACUCUAUUUGUAGCUACUGGCUAGAUCCCCUUGCCAUGGAAACCAAUUUAUUGUGAUCUUUAGGGGCGAGGUGUUCAGAAUAAUAUGAAACUGAAUAAUGUAUGGACAUUGCUUCAUGUCAGCCCUUCCCUCAAAAUUGCCUCGGUCACGUUCCUCAAUGUGUUCGUAUUCAUUAAACUCUCUUGGCCAAGCAUUAGACAAUAUGCAAUAGUUGGGAGUUCUCUUUCCUCUCACUAGUUGAUUCAAGUUUACAAAGUUAACUAUAAUAUCUUAAUGAUAAUAUUUACAUACAUCUUUCCCAGUGGAGAUACACUUCUAUAUUAUCAAAGCAGGAGAGCAACUAACAUUGGUCCGUCAAUUUACCUAUUUUCUAAUUUUAUCAGAUUUUUUUUAUUUUUUUUAUUUAUUAUUUAUUUUUAUUUUUUUAGUGUAUGCAGUAUGCUAUGUUUUUUUGGGGGUAUUUUGCUACUACACCAGUGAGUUGAUAGCAGCAAAGAAAUAAAUUCUUGCAUAAUGGAAAUGAAGGCAAGAACAGCCGCCAUAGUUGGACUAGCAUUUGAUAUUUUGAUGUACACGAUGCGUUAAACAUUUGAAAAAUUUAUACUCGUAGCUAACAUUAUAACCAAGUAAAAUGAUAAGCAGUUUGGUAUGCGAUACGGAUCGAAUCCGAAAGUAAUUUGAGCUAAAGCUAGGGUGAAUCGAAUGGGCUUCCUUAAAAAAAAUAACCAAGUAAUACGAUGACUAUAAAGUUUCCUAACUAUUUAGUAUAGAGUGAAAAAACUGACAAAAUAUUGUUAUGGACAUUUUAUUGAAACAAAAUCUUCA
RNA transcript from Chenopodium quinoa (quinoa), 1772 nucleotides. It is a transcript of the gene named HVA22-like protein a, with no coding region annotated. NCBI's taxonomy places the organism in Eukaryota, Viridiplantae, Streptophyta, Magnoliopsida, Caryophyllales, Amaranthaceae. The transcript has 6 exons. The record is from RefSeq and is a predicted model, not a curated record.